AGGGAAAUGACCCCCACUCGCGCCUGGGAGGCGGUGAGUGGCACAGGCAGGUCGCACCCUCUACGGGCCCCCUCGGUUACGCUGGCCGUGGGCAUCCUGGAGCCUCGGAGCAUCAGCCUGCGCACGAAGGUGGCCCGGCUACUUUUUCAUUCAUAAAAUCUCGACCGGGCGGUUGCCCGGAUGAUUUAUGAGGCCGCGCGCUGUCACAGGCGGCGCCCGUCCCUAGGGGCGAAGGGUCCGAGUCCCGCGUGCGCCAGGCCCAGGCCAAGACUCGCAGGGAUCGAACUUGAGACCUUGCACUUGUGAGACAGGCAUCGGAACCACUGAGCUAAAUCCCAUGCCAACAAGAUGGUGAAAGGAAAUUUUUUUUUUUGUUACCAGAGAUCAAACUCAGGACCUUGUGCUUGCAAGGAAGGUGUGGUGCCACUGAACUAAAUCCCCGGCCCCCUGUCACCUUUCAAAAGCCCCACUUAUGAGUACAUGAGGUGCUCACGGUACAUCUAGAUAUAAAAUCACAGCAGGCAUGGUUACCUGUAACCAAAAACUAGCACGAGGGCACCAGCUUGGAGCACACUUGCAGGCUGCAUCAUAUGAGCACAUUUCCAGGUAUGAAAUAUACAAGAUGCACCCUAGAACAAACCCAGGUCUGAGAAGAGGGGAGUGGUGAGCCUGGACAUGUCCACAGGAUGCAGGAGCACGAAGUGAAAAGAGCCAGACAGCGCAUUAGCAAAACAGAAG
This is a long non-coding RNA of Heterocephalus glaber (naked mole-rat), 738 nucleotides long. The record is from Ensembl. NCBI's taxonomy places the organism in Eukaryota, Metazoa, Chordata, Mammalia, Rodentia, Bathyergidae.